CGGACGGGUGAGUAAUGUAUGGGGAUCUGCCUGAUGGCGGGGGAUAACUACUGGAAACGGUAGCUAAUACCGCAUAAUGUCUACGGACCAAAGCGGGGGACCUUCGGGCCUCGCGCCAUCAGAUGAACCCAUAUGGGAUUAGCUUGUAGGUAAGGUAACGGCUUACCUAGGCGACGAUCCCUAGCUGGUCUGAGAGGAUGAUCAGCCACACUGGGACUGAGACACGGCCCAG
This 232-nucleotide ribosomal RNA is filed under the name uncultured bacterium. RNAcentral describes it as "partial 16S ribosomal RNA". It matches the Rfam family "Bacterial small subunit ribosomal RNA", at positions 99 to 334 of the family's 1533-position model. The record is from RNAcentral.